UCCCUGGCGGUCCAGUGGUUAGGACACAGCACUUACAAUGCCGUGACCCAGGUUCGAUCCCUGGUCAGGGAA
Molecule: non-coding RNA, 72 nt
Organism: Orcinus orca (killer whale)
Lineage: Eukaryota; Metazoa; Chordata; Mammalia; Artiodactyla; Delphinidae
Source: the annotation of a RefSeq genome assembly